UACGAAGGGGGCUAGCGUUGCUCGGAAUCACUGGGCGUAAAGGGCGCGUAGGCGGAUAGUUUAGUCAGAGGUGAAAGCCCAGGGCUCAACCUUGGAAUUGCCUUUGAUACUGGCUAUCUUGAGUUCGGGAGAGGUGAGUGGAAUGCCGAGUGUAGAGGUGAAAUGCGUAGAUAUUGGGAGGAACACCAGUGGCGAAGGCGGCUCACUGGACCGGUUCUGACGCUGAGGCGCGAAAGCGUGGGGAGCAAACAGGG
RNAcentral lists this ribosomal RNA (254 nucleotides) under uncultured bacterium. RNAcentral describes it as "partial 16S ribosomal RNA". It matches the Rfam family "Bacterial small subunit ribosomal RNA", at positions 524 to 777 of the family's 1533-position model. The record is from RNAcentral.